UUCAAACAGAGUGCAGUGAACGCCUCUCCAUUGUAGUUAAUAUACCUCCCUGUUGAGAUCAGAGAUCACUUCUCUUGUGAGCAGAGACGAGCGAGCAGACAAUCAACUAACAGUAAAGACUUUCAAUUUUCAUCGACUUCAUUCCCCAUCGGACCAUGAAGACACGGAGAAACAGCAGAGGAUAUAUGGAACGUUAUUGGGAAGGUCGGCACUUGAAGCUGACAGAUUUGAAAGAGGAAGCAAAGGGUUUGAGGAACCAAUAUCUCCUCAAAGAAAACAUUCCUGCGUGGCCCCGACCAGAGUUUCAUGUGUCUCAUCUGAAACACGACACAAACAGAGAUGGAUUACGUGGCAUCAGGGAUGAUAGCGGCUUCAAGCGCCCACAUGGAGACUCUCUGGUGUGGUGGAGUCUGGCUGUGACGCCUGAUGACAUCACAUCGGCUGAGAGGAGGCUCCUGGAGACGACCUACCCCGACCGGACGGAGGAGCAGGUCCAGAUGCAGCAGAGCUUCCUGGGGAAGUUUGCCACCUCCCCGUCCUUCUCCGAGCUCUCCAGGCUGGGCUCGUACCGCUUCACCUUCCCCCUGGAGGAGCUGCUGGAGGCCUACAGCCAGCUGUGUUGCUCCGGCGCUCAGCCCAUAAUGCGGGUGUACGAGACCGUCCUGCACAAACAGGAAGUGGUUUAUGUUAUACUGGUCCACAGCCCAGCCAAUCAGGAGCUGUUCUCAGAUCGUCCUCUGCUGACUGACGACCCAAACUCUGUCUGCUCCUACAAAGAUGGCCGCUUCAUCUGGAGGCCUGAGGCCAUGUGUGAGACACACAGCUAUGAGUUGGUCCUGAGACCUGAUGAAAAGCAGAUGGAAGCGAGGGAGGUGAAGCCGUCUCGCAAAGAGUUUUAUGUUUGGGAUCAUGUUGCUGUCGCCCUGCAUGUGGGCAGACAGGUGCUGAAGUUUGAUCCUGCCUGACUGAGACAGAACCUCAAGUACUGUGAAAAAGCAACACCUUCAAUUGUGGAUGAAUCCAAAUUUCAGGACUUCCCACAAGCUGAAGAGUUAGUCAGGGAAUUGUGGCCUGACGACUCGUCACCACUGGAGAGAGCUGAGCCGCUAAAUAAAGUGAAAAGUGAAAAAUGAAAUCUGUCGUCUGUCAGCAUGAAGAUGUACAGAAGCUACAACAAUAACAACAACUAUAAUAAUGAAAUAUGAAUAUUAGAAAUACUAACAGCUGUAAAACAACUAUAGUCCAAAUAUGACCAGUAAAAACAAUAAUGACAAUAAUUAUAAUAAUUAAUCCAGAACUCAUUACUCACCAAAAAUAUUCAGUUGUGGUUUGUAGAUUGCUGUAGUUGUGGUUAGUUUGUCUUUUAGCCCUAAAUAUCUUUCAUGCUAUUUCAUUUCUGAGGUCACUUCACUAUUAACUUGGCUGUUCCUCCUCCAGAGGUGCUGAAGUCACCUCAUUAACAUCCUAACAGGAUAGAUUACAUGAGAGUAAUUAUCAUGACACCUACAGACAGGGAGGAUCGCUUUUUCUUUUCUCCUGUUUUGUUAUCGGCCUUUUGUUGCUUCUGUUUUUGGACUCUGGAUUCUGUGGGCUUGUUUUAUGGCUUCAUUUAAUAAAGGUAAAGCUUUUUGUUCCUCACCUUCCUGCAUGUGUUUCUUCUGUUUGGGUCCUUAUUUGUGUGAACAUUGUGAAUGUUUGUUAAAUUGAAUUAAAAAGUCAAACAUUCACUCGUUGUCUUCAUGAGCAGAUCAUAAUAUUACAUAUUAAACAUGUUGUGAUGUGACAGUUGGCUGAAAUGUUUUAAUGUGAGGAUUUACACAACAAACGUCAUGAUAAACACAUCUUAGAGCUCAUUAGAAAAGCUCC
This 1866-nucleotide long non-coding RNA is filed under the name Sparus aurata (gilthead seabream). RNAcentral describes it as "lncRNA (ENSSAUG00010009772.1)". Lineage: Eukaryota; Metazoa; Chordata; Actinopteri; Spariformes; Sparidae. The record is from RNAcentral.